Molecule: ribosomal RNA, 436 nt
Filed under: uncultured rumen bacterium
Lineage: Bacteria
Description: bacterial SSU rRNA
Rfam family: Bacterial small subunit ribosomal RNA
Source: RNAcentral
UAACGCGAAGAACCUUACCCGGGCUUGAACUGCAGCGGAAGGAUACAGAGAUGUUGACGUCCUUCGGGACCGCUGUGGAGGUGCUGCAUGGUUGUCGUCAGCUCGUGCCGUGAGGUGUCGGCUUAAGUGCCAUAACGAGCGCAACCCUUGCUAUCAGUUGCCAUCAGGUAAUGCUGGGCACUCUGUUAGGACUGCCACCGUAAGGUGUGAGGAAGGUGGGGAUGACGUCAAAUCAGCACGGCCCUUACGUCCGGGGCUACACACGUGUUACAAUGGGGUAUACAGAAGGCGGGAUCACGGCAACGUGGUUCAAAUCUUUAAAGUGCUCCUCAGUUCGGAUUGGGGUCUGCAACCCGACCCCAUGAAGCUGGAAUCGCUAGUAAUCGCGCAUCAGCCAUGGCGCGGUGAAUACGUUCCCGGGUCUUGUACACACCGA